Molecule: ribosomal RNA, 312 nt
Filed under: Triticum aestivum (bread wheat)
Lineage: Eukaryota; Viridiplantae; Streptophyta; Magnoliopsida; Poales; Poaceae
Description: partial small subunit ribosomal RNA
Source: RNAcentral
GAGGCAAUUCUUAACAUUCCCUUAAACCCAGCUGGCGGACAAGACAUUUUAGCAUGGUCUUUGGAAAAGUCUGGCAACUAUACUGUAAAGUUUGCAUAUCGGCCUCUCGUGACUCGCAACGAGCUCGGCUCUCUAGAGGAAGGGGCGAAUACAGAAACCUCAUCAUCAAACAAACAGUUGUGGUCAGCGCUUUGGAAAAACCAUGUCAUUCCAAAGGUUCGAGUGUUUUGGGGGAGAGUACUUCAUGGUAUUUUACCAGAUUCAGUAACACUCAACUAUAGGCAUAUCAAGUCCAUUGGCAGGUGUGAUAUU